RNAcentral lists this long non-coding RNA (625 nucleotides) under Elaeis guineensis (African oil palm). RNAcentral's name for it is "long non-coding RNA (EGUI_LNC009324)". The record is from RNAcentral. Lineage: Eukaryota; Viridiplantae; Streptophyta; Magnoliopsida; Arecales; Arecaceae.
UUUGGGGAUCGAUCAAGGGACACAAAGAGAAAGAGGGAGAGGAGGGUCCACUAGCGGGGUCCACCCAAAUACACAGAGAGAGUGAGAGAAAGAGAGUGGUGAGUCAGGGGGAGCAUGUUUUGUUAUUAGGAAUAUGAGUGGUACGGCGGUGGUAGGAGAAGGUGUUAAAUUGUUUGAUAUUACAUUUUAUUUGGUUGAAAUACAUAUGGCAUGAGAAGGUAUGGUAUAUGUAACUAGAAUUUUGAGAGUACCCAAGUAUCUUAUAUUUUUCUAGAAAGAGACUCCUUCACUGUUAUUAGAUGGCUUGCUUAUUGAUCAUCUUUCGAGUUUAAUAUUCAUCCGUUGGGACAAUAUUAUGUGAGAAUGGGAGUAUGUUUUUAGAUUUUUGAAGUGAAACUUGUUUAUAUGGAAGCUAGUAAAGUUGCAGAUUGGAUGGCGACAUAUGCUGUUGGUCAUGUAAAACUUAGAUGAUUGCGAGAGAUAUUUCUUUUGAUUAGUUAGAUAUUUUAUUUUGAGAUGCCUACGAAUGUAUUUACCCUAGAACGGUUUAAUGAUUCUAGUUUAUCAAAAGAAAGAGAGAGAUGGCCUGCAACUUGUAUCUAACUCCGGGAAAAAUAGAAAAAAA